GUUUGGUUAAGUUAGAAAGGGCGCACGGUGGAUGCCUUGACACUAGGAGUCGAUGAAGGACGGGACUAACGCCGAUAUGCUUCGGGAAGCUGUAAGUAAGCUUUGAUCCGAAGAUUUCCGAAUGGGGAAACCCACCAUACGUAAUGGUAUGGUAUCCUUAUCUGAAUACAUAGGGUAAGGAAGACAGACCCAGGGAACUGAAACAUCUAAGUACCUGGAGGAAGAGAAAGCAAAUGCGAUUUCCUGAGUAGCGGCGAGCGAAACGGAACAUAGCCCAAACCAAGAGGCUUGCCUCUUGGGGUUGUAGGACAUUCUAUACGGAGUUACAAAGGAACGAGGUAGACGAAGCGACCUGGAAAGGUCC
RNAcentral lists this ribosomal RNA (364 nucleotides) under Bacillus cereus. RNAcentral's name for it is "bacterial LSU rRNA". It matches the Rfam family "Bacterial large subunit ribosomal RNA", at positions 1 to 353 of the family's 2925-position model. The record is from RNAcentral. Lineage: Bacteria; Bacillati; Bacillota; Bacilli; Caryophanales; Bacillaceae.